GACGAACGCUGGCGGCGUGCUUAACACAUGCAAGUUGAACGCUGAAGACCUGGCUUUUGUUGGGUUGGAUGAGUGGCGAACGGGUGAGUAACACGUGAGUAACCUGCCCUCUUCUUUGGGAUAACGCCCGGAAACGGGUGCUAAUACUGGAUAUUCACUGAUCUUCGCAUGGGGGUUGGUGGAAAGGUUUGUUCUGGUGGGGGAUGGGCUCGCGGCCUAUCAGCUUGUUGGUGGGGUGAUGGCCUACCAAGGCUUUGACGGGUAGCCGGCCUGAGAGGGUGACCGGUCACAUUGGGACUGAGAUACGGCCCAGACUCCUACGGGAGGCAGCAGUGGGGAAUAUUGCACAAUGGGCGAAAGCCUGAUGCAGCGACGCCGCGUGAGGGAUGGAGGCCUUCGGGUUGUAAACCUCUUUCGCUCAUGGUCAAGCCGCAACUGUGGGUUGUGGUGAGGGUAGUGGGUAAAGAAGCGCCGGCUAACUACGUG
This 486-nucleotide ribosomal RNA is filed under the name uncultured bacterium. Its description in RNAcentral is "partial 16S ribosomal RNA". It matches the Rfam family "Bacterial small subunit ribosomal RNA", at positions 28 to 507 of the family's 1533-position model. The record is from RNAcentral.